RNA transcript from Nicotiana attenuata, 1954 nucleotides. RefSeq lists it as uncharacterized. The transcript is spliced from 5 exons. NCBI's taxonomy places the organism in Eukaryota, Viridiplantae, Streptophyta, Magnoliopsida, Solanales, Solanaceae. The record is from RefSeq and is a predicted model, not a curated record.
AUCAAAAUGGAUUUGGAGAAAGGAAAAAGAAAAAGAAAAAGAAACACAAAACCUCACAUUGUAGAACUUUAUUACUGACUUUUGUAUUCAUUUUCAUUUGCUUCUUUUCAGCAUCUCUCAUCAACAUAUUAUUCUAUUUCUCUCUUCAAUCUUCUUCUGGGUACUCUUGAUUUCUUUCCAAAAUUUAUCAGACGAAGGGAGAUGCUGCAUGCUGACAGGAACUUGGUUUUUAAUCUCUCCGAUCACUGAAACUUCACGCUGAAAGGGGCUAUGAUAAAGUUCUCUAUGGAGGAGGUGGAACUGUAUACCAACUGGGAUAAUGUGAUUUGUCCCAUUUGCUUGGACUUCCCUCACAACGGUGUUCUCCUCCAGUGCUCAUCUUUCGAGAAGGGUUGCAGGCCCUUUUUGUGUGACACGGAUCAUUUGCACUCCAACUGUCUAGAACGCUUCAAACAAGCACAUCGGAUGAUAGCUGGGUCACAAUUACUUUCAACAUCCAAUGACAGAGAAGAUAUGACAAAAUCGGAAGGCAAGAAUUGGGCUGCCUGCCCCUUGUGUAGGGGAGAAGUUACUGGAUGGGUUGUUGUUGAGAAGGCUCGCAUACAUCUCGAUGUCAAGGAACGCUGUUGUGAAGAGGAUAAAUGUCGAUUUACGGGCACCUAUUUGGAACUUCAGAAACAUGCUAAACUUGACCACCCUCAUGCAUGUCCCUCAAAAAUAGAUCCUGCUCGACAGGUUGAUUGGGAAAAUUUUCAGCAGUCCUCUGAAAUAAUAGACGUCUUGAGUACUAUUCAUGCAGAAGUUCCCCGAGGGGUUGUUUUAGGUGAUUAUGUGAUUGAAUAUGGAAAUGAUAAUUCUGAAGAUGACUUUGAGGACUUCCCUUCAGCGGAAGGCAACUGGUGGACAUCAUGUAUCUUGUAUCAGGUAUUUAAUAACUUUAGGACGUCUAGAAACAGAAGAAGAUCUAGAGUAAGUAAUACAAGAAGAGGAAACCGCCAUUUGGGUUAUGAUGCUUCAAACUCUGAUGAGAGUUCUGUGACAUCUGUAGAAUAUGUAGAUUAUGGGGUUGACGAGACUGAUGAUGAGCUUGUAAGUGCUGCUGGCCUCUCAAGGAGAAGAGCUGAUAGUCGCAGUUCCCGAAGGCGUCGUUCCCGCUUCUAUGACAAUUAGGGUUAGUAAGGAUCCAUUGGAAAGACUGAAGUGUAUCUUCAUUUGCUCGAAAACUAGCAUCAUUCAAAGAAGGAAGUGUUCCCAAGUAUUCCUGGUGGAGUAGUGGCUAUGGAGUGAAGAGGGAAAGGAUAAAACUUGUUCAUGUAGUUGUGGUGCAAACGAUUGUAAGCUCGAUGCUUGCUCAUGAUAAACUGAAGGCUUCGUAGAUAGUCUUUUGGAUAAUUUAACUUCUGUUUUAGUGACCUUUUGAAUCAGUUUAUCAUCAUCUUUUGCAGACUGCCAAUUGCUUUAGUUCCUUCAGGAGUUUCUAAAAAACGGUUCUACAAAGGAAAGACCCGAAUGAAACAGAUACAAACAACCGCAAGAUGAAGAAGCCAACACAAUUAGGCUCCCAAAAGAAAGGGUCACUAUUAACAAGGAAAAUAUUGGUGGUCAUAAAUGACAUGGGGAGACCAAACAUGGAUUCUUGUAACUCUUCAUUCAUACAAACAUCAAUGGAAUAAAAGAAGUGCACUAUUGAUGAUGAUAAACCAAUGGAUUCUUUCUUAUCAAUUAUGCACAUGGAAUUAGACCAAAUAGUGUACAUUCAUCAACCAGUCCGAAGCUGAUUUAAGCUCCUGCACUACUUGUCGAUAUUCUUCCUGUUGCUACCACGAAAGGAACCUCAAAACUACCAAUCCAACAAUUGUGGCAACUACAGCUAACAUUGAUAAGUAAAUCAGAUACAAAGUAGUCAAAAGUUGUAUCCUUCAACACAUAUAUAGCUUUAGAGAUAUCUAGAAGA